RNAcentral lists this long non-coding RNA (794 nucleotides) under Gadus morhua (Atlantic cod). RNAcentral's name for it is "lncRNA (ENSGMOG00000035478.1)". The record is from RNAcentral. Lineage: Eukaryota; Metazoa; Chordata; Actinopteri; Gadiformes; Gadidae.
CCAGUCUUUAGAGAGAGAGAGAGAGAGAGAGAGAGAGAGAGAGAGAGAGAGAGAGAGAGAGAGAGAGAGAGAGAGAGAGAGAGAGAGAGAGAGAGAGAGAGAGAGAGAGAGAGAGAGAGAGAGAGAGAGAGAGAGAGAGAGAGAGAGAGAGAGGCUGUGUCCCAAUUCCUAGGACGCAUCCUUCGAAGGCUGCAUUCGAAGGCUGCGUCGACGCCGAUUGCGUCACCGCGACGCGCCAAGUGCUGUCCCAAUUCCAAGGGUCCUUCAAAUGCGGCCCACAAAUGCAGCCUUCUUUUCCCGGAUUUGAAGGAUGCAUCAGCUGUAUCCUUCACGGCCCAACGUAUCCAAAGAUCCUUCACGGCCCAACGUAUCCCUCCCAAGAUUCAUUGCGCACUCAAUCAAUGGAGAUGGCGGAGAAUGGCGAUUUAAGUUUUGCAUUUAAAUCAGCAUACUGCUCGAUUUAUUCUAUUGAGAGGGGAGAACGAUGAGCUGUUCACCGGAGUGAAAUACUCGGCAAGUGUGGCUUGGGGGACAAUUCUGGAGAAAAUAGGCCUGCAGGGGAAGGUGACUCCCCUGCAGGCAAAGAAAAAAUGGGACAAUUUAAAAUAAAUAAAUAAAGUAUGUACAUGUCAUUUUAAAUAUACAUUAUUUGUUUUAAUGCAAGUUAAUAAACACUUUUGCUGAAAUUUGUUUUGAUGCUGCUGUUGUUAACUGCCAUGAUUGAUUUCCUCUGCCUUAGGAUUGCAAGUAUCCAGGGUCAGGAGAGGGGGUAGGUGGGAAACCAACUGCUGCCA